GGGUGAUUAGCUCAGCUGGCUAGAGCACCGUGUUCACAUCGCGGGGGUCACUGGUUCAAGUCCAGUAUCACCCACCA
Molecule: transfer RNA, 77 nt
Filed under: Candidatus Sumerlaeota bacterium
Lineage: Bacteria; Candidatus Sumerlaeota
Description: tRNA-Val
Rfam family: tRNA
About the family: Transfer RNA (tRNA) molecules are approximately 80 nucleotides in length. Their secondary structure includes four short double-helical elements and three loops (D, anti-codon, and T loops).
Source: RNAcentral